This 476-nucleotide long non-coding RNA is filed under the name Pan troglodytes (chimpanzee). RNAcentral describes it as "lncRNA (ENSPTRG00000053409.1)". The record is from RNAcentral. Lineage: Eukaryota; Metazoa; Chordata; Mammalia; Primates; Hominidae.
AUUCAUGAUCUCCACAUUAUUGGGUGGCCAAAAGCGAGAAGAAGGGCUUUGUGAUUUUCCAUGUUAUUUUACUCAGCGACUCUUCCCCUAGCACUCACCCUGUAGCAGCUACCUUGAAUGACAACAGAGAGCCAGUCCUGCGCAGGUGUGGAAAGUGUGCCAGGGAAAAGCCACUCUUUGUGAAGAGACUCACAGGCACAGAAACUAGAACCAGGUCCCCAAAGAGUUCAACCAAUGACGAGCAGAAAUUCUUCAGUUUGCAGAAUGACAGGUCACGGUUGGUGGAAUAAAAAGUUGUAAGUUGUGGACAAAGUACGUCUACUCAGAUGUGAAUCCCAAGGCCUUAAGCUGUCCUCAGGUUUCCUCAUUGGCUGGCGGUCUAUGCAGAUACUCCUAUGUUCCUGAUCUGGGAAACAGAAUUUCUAAUGGAGGUGUCACCUGGUGGUAAAAACAAAGAAGACAAUUAAAUUUUUUCG